GCCGCUUCAGGCGAAGUCAUUGAUCCUAUGCUGCCUAGAAAAGCCCAGCAGCGAGUUGACAUGGUGCCCGUACCCCAAACCAACACAGGUGGACAGGUAGAGCAUACCAAGGCGAGUGGGAUAACUAUGGUUAAGGAACUCGGCAAAUUGCCUCCGUAACUUCGGGAGAAGGAGGACCCCAGUAGCGUGAUGAGACUUGCUCUCUGAGCGUGAAGGGGUGGCACAAAAUUGAGGGAAGCGACUGUUUACCAAAAACACAGCAGCGUGCUAAGCCGUAAGGCGCUGUAUACGCUGUGACUCCUGCCCGGUGCUGGAAGGUUACGGGGAUGGGUUAGUCCUUCGGGACGAAGCUCUGAACCUAAGCCCCAGUAAACGGCGGCCGUAACUAUAACGGUCCUAAGGUAGCGAAAUUCCUUGUCGGGUAAGUUCCGACCUGCACGAAUGGAGUAACGACUUCCCUACUGUCUCAACCAUAGACCCAGCGAAAUUGAAGUACGAGUAAAGAUGCUCGUUAGCUGCAGAAGGACGGAAAGACCCCGUGGACCUUUACUAUAACUUGAUGUUGUGUUUUGUCAUAUGUUGUGUAGGAUAGGUGGGAGACUUGGAAGCAUGGACGCUAGUCUGUGUGGAGUCAUCGUUGAAAUACCACCCUGCAUAUGGUGAGGCUCUAACCUAGACCCGUUAUCCGGGUUGGGGACAGCGUCAGGCGGGUAGUUUAACUGGGGCGGUUGCCUCCUAAAGAGUAACGGAGGCGCCCAAAGGUUCCCUCAGCCUGGUUGGCAAUCAGGCGUUGAGUGCAAUGGCAAAAGGGAGCUUGACUGCGAGACCUACAAGUCGAGCAGGAGCGAAAGCUGGGCAUAGUGAUCCGGCGGUUGCGUGUGGAAGCGCCGUCGCUCAACGGAUAAAAGGUACCCCGGGGAUAACAGGCUAAUCUUGCCCAAGCGUCCAUAGCGACGGCAAGGUUUGGCACCUCGAUGUCGGCUCAUCGCAUCCUGGGGCUGAAGCAGGUCCCAAGGGUUGGGCUGUUCGCCCAUUAAAGCGGUACGCGAGCUGGGUUCAGAACGUCGUGAGACAGUUCGGUCCCUAUCCUCUGCAGCCGGAGGUGAAUUGAGGAAAGCUGUCCCUAGUACGAGAGGACCGGGACGGACGCAGCUCUCGUGUGCCAGUUGUCCUGCCAAGGGCAUGGCUGGUUAGCGACCUGCGGAAAGGAUAACCGCUGAAAGCAUCUAAGCGGGAAGCCUCUUCCAAGAUGAAUUCACCCACAGGGUUAACCUGGUAAGGCCCGUGGUAGACCACCACGUUGAUAGGCCGGAAGUGUAAGCGUGGCAACACGUUCAGCUGACCGGUACUAAUCGGCCGAGGGCUUGAGUCC
This 1372-nucleotide ribosomal RNA is filed under the name metagenome. Its description in RNAcentral is "bacterial LSU rRNA". It matches the Rfam family "Bacterial large subunit ribosomal RNA", at positions 1573 to 2925 of the family's 2925-position model. The record is from RNAcentral.